GAGGGGUAUAUAGGGCUUGCUCUAUAGAGACCGGCAAACGGGUGCGGAACACGUACACAACCUACCCUUAUCUUGGGAAUAGCCCAUAGAAAUGUGGAUUAAUACCCAAUAGUAUAUUAAGGAGGCAUCUUCUAAAUAUUAAAGAACUUCGGAUAAGGAUGGGUGUGCGUAAGAUUAGAUAGUUGGUGGGGUAACGGCUCACCAAGUCUACGAUCUUUAGCUGAUGUGAGAGCAUGAUCAGCCACACGGGCACUGAGACACGGGCCCGACUCCUACGGGAGGCAGCAGUGAGGAAUAUUGGGCAAUGGACGGAAGUCUGACCCAGCCAUGCCGCGUGAAGGAUGAAGGCGUUCUGCGUUGUAAACUUCUUUUAUCAGGGAAGAAACCCACGAUUUCUAUUGUGGUUGACGGUACCUGAGGAAUAAGCACCGGCUAACUCCGUG
RNAcentral lists this ribosomal RNA (443 nucleotides) under uncultured bacterium. Its description in RNAcentral is "bacterial SSU rRNA". It matches the Rfam family "Bacterial small subunit ribosomal RNA", at positions 64 to 507 of the family's 1533-position model. The record is from RNAcentral.